CCUCUCGUGGCGUUGGGGUAACGCGCCCUAUCUAGAGAAUAGAGAGUCGUGAGUUCGAUUCUCCCCUAGAAGA
Aedes aegypti (yellow fever mosquito) is the source of this 73-nucleotide non-coding RNA. The record is from Rfam. Lineage: Eukaryota; Metazoa; Arthropoda; Insecta; Diptera; Culicidae.